GCUUGGGAAUAUGCCUUUGAGUGGGGGACAACAGUUGGAAACGACUGCUAAUACCGCAUAAUGUCUACGGACCAAAGGGGGAGUCUUCGAACCUCUCGCUCAUAGAUUAGCCCAACGUGAGAUUAGCUAGUUGGUACGGUAAUGGCGUACCAAGGCGACGAUCUCUAGCUGGUUUGUAGAGGAUGAUCAGCCACACUGGGACUGAGACACGGCCCACGACUCCUACGGGAGGCAGCAGUGGGGAAGUAAUUGCACAAUGGGGGAAACCCGUAGAUGCAGCCAUGCCGCGUGUGUGAAGAA
Molecule: ribosomal RNA, 300 nt
Filed under: uncultured Colwelliaceae bacterium
Lineage: Bacteria; Pseudomonadati; Pseudomonadota; Gammaproteobacteria; Alteromonadales; Colwelliaceae
Description: bacterial SSU rRNA
Rfam family: Bacterial small subunit ribosomal RNA
Source: RNAcentral